Molecule: transfer RNA, 79 nt
Filed under: Mycolicibacterium cosmeticum
Lineage: Bacteria; Bacillati; Actinomycetota; Actinomycetes; Mycobacteriales; Mycobacteriaceae
Description: tRNA-Lys
Source: RNAcentral
GCGGGUCGUGGCCGAUGGUCAUCAACGACCGGCGCCACUCUUGCUGCCCCGCUGUCGGUUCCAUGUCGACGCCGCGCUC